Long non-coding RNA from Brienomyrus brachyistius, 1396 nucleotides. RefSeq lists it as uncharacterized. The record is from RefSeq and is a predicted model, not a curated record. The transcript is spliced from 4 exons. NCBI's taxonomy places the organism in Eukaryota, Metazoa, Chordata, Actinopteri, Osteoglossiformes, Mormyridae.
AAAGCGUUUCCGGCAGGGUUUGAACAUGUGCGUGGAGCUUGCUGGCACAGAUUUUUUUUCUUCUUUUGAAUUUAUCUAUCUAUCACUAUUUUAUGUGAUGAAAAAGCAUUAUCCUGUGUAAUAUUUGCCUACCUUUAUGAGGGGAGCGGGGUACGGUCUUAUUUAUUUUGUGUUAAGUGGUGAUUUGUUUAUGUAGUUAUUUGAUAUUUACUUUGGUAGCGUCAUGUAAUGAUCCUGUUUCGUAGGUGUAUAUGUUAAAAGAUGUUAAAUGAAUUUGUGAAACAUGCAAUGUGUAUUUGUAUGUUUAAUGCAGUUUUCAUGGUGCUUAACGACACCGAUUGACGGAAAGGUUUAAUCGUGUUUUAUCUGUGCUAUGGUGAUCAGCGAUGGACAAAAUACGAGAAACUUUUAAAGCACCAGUCCAGACACUCAUUUUGGAUUUCAAGGACUAUUAUGUAUAUGAGUAUCGUAACGUCGCAAUGCGCCGUGGGUACGGGGAGUACCUUCGCUUGUCCCGUGCAGCUUUAAAAUGCGGAAGGAUGCUACUGCGAUGUGGAGCAUAGUGUAAUUAUAUGAAGUUACAGCUAGUGCAGCAGAAAUGCUGGCAAUCUGAACUGUAAGGUUUUGGACCAGUGCUGAACAUCACACACUCAAUGCUGGCUGGGAAUAUCACUAAAGCAGAACCUUACGAAUGCCGACUGUGAACUUAGUACUGCAGAAAUGGCAGUAUAAAUUGUAAGGGCAGGACAUUUCAGGGAAGAGGGCAGGAAAGAGUCACCUCUUUUCAGUCAUGGUGUCCUGUACUCCGGAAAAACCUGUGUAUGCUGAAUCAGACUAAGCUGGGUGGACAACACAACAGUGCAGUACAAGAAAAGUCAGAGCAAACUGCUUUCUAAGGAGACUCUAGUGUUUUGAUCUGUGCAGCAAGAUGCUGUACAUGUUUCGUCAGUUGGUUAUAGCUAGUGCUGGCGCUAGUCGUAAUUGAUGUUGUGAGAGCAUUUUGGUUUCCCAAUAAAUUUCCCAUUAAGUGGAGACCGUAAUUAAGUUCAAGGUGUUUUGCGAACUAGAAUUUGUAGCUAGAAACCUAUCCAGAGUGCUAGCUCAUUUGUGACGACAAUUGUAUGUUCAAAGUAAAGCAUAAACAGACUCUACCUGUGGUAUUUAUGGAGCUUUUGCCAGGAAAUUCAGGCCAGGCUAGUAACUAGUUAUAAGGCUAUGUAUUGCUACAACUAUGUAACUGUACUCAGUAGUAGAGAACCCAGAAUUUAAUUCAUUAUGAUGGCCAUGUGCAAAUAAGGUUUUGUUAUUCAAACACAUCAACAGAUGCAUUGCCUUCGGUUGUACAUUGUUCCUAAUUGUUUGUACUUUUUAAAAAUAAAUUUCAAACCAAAUUGUU